UGCGUAGACGGUUAUUUAAGUCGGAUGUGAAAUCCCCGGGCUCAACCCGGGAACUGCGUCCGAGACUGAAAGGCUAGAAUCCGGGAGAGGGAUGUGGAAUUCCAGGUGUAGCGGUGAAAUGCGUAGAUAUCUGGAGGAACAUCGGUGGCGAAGGCGGCAUCCUGGACCGGUAUUGACGCUGAGGCGCGAAAGCCGAGGGGAAGGCAAACG
Molecule: ribosomal RNA, 210 nt
Filed under: uncultured bacterium
Lineage: Bacteria
Description: partial 16S ribosomal RNA
Rfam family: Bacterial small subunit ribosomal RNA
Source: RNAcentral